AGUGAACGCUGGCGGCGUGCCUAAUACAUGCAAGUCGAACGAUGAAGUCCUAGCUUGCUAGGAUGGAUUAGUGGCGCACGGGUGAGUAAUAUAUAGUUAAUCUGCCCUACACAGAGGAACAACAGUUGGAAACGGCUGCUAAUACCUCAUACUCCUAUUUGACAUAAGUUAAAUAGGGAAAGUCUUUUCGGUGUAGGAUGAGACUAUAUCGUAUCAGCUAGUUGGUAAGGUAAUGGCUUACCAAGGCUAUGACGCGUAACUGGUCUGAGAGGAUGAUCAGUCACAUUGGAACUGAGACACGGUCCAAACUCCUACGGGAGGCAGCAGUAAGGAAUAUUGCGCAAUGGGGGAAACCCUGACGCAGCAACGCCGCGUGGAGGAUGACACUUUUCGGAGCGUAAACUCCUCUUAUCAGGAAAGAAUAAUGACGGUACCUGAUGAAUAAGCACCGGCUAACUCCGU
RNAcentral lists this ribosomal RNA (462 nucleotides) under uncultured bacterium. Its description in RNAcentral is "partial 16S ribosomal RNA". It matches the Rfam family "Bacterial small subunit ribosomal RNA", at positions 29 to 506 of the family's 1533-position model. The record is from RNAcentral.